RNAcentral lists this ribosomal RNA (548 nucleotides) under uncultured bacterium. RNAcentral describes it as "bacterial SSU rRNA". It matches the Rfam family "Bacterial small subunit ribosomal RNA", at positions 356 to 896 of the family's 1533-position model. The record is from RNAcentral.
GGGGAAUUUUGGACAAUGGGCGCAAGCCUGAUCCAGCCAUGCCGCGUGUCUGAAGAAGGCCUUCGGGUUGUAAAGGACUUUUGUCAGGGAAGAAAAGGCUGUUGCUAAUAUCGACAGCUGAUGACGGUACCUGAAGAAUAAGCACCGGCUAACUACGUGCCAGCAGCCGCGGUAAUACGUAGGGUGCGAGCGUUAAUCGGAAUUACUGGGCGUAAAGCGGGCGCAGACGGUUACUUAAGCAGGAUGUGAAAUCCCCGGGCUCAACCUGGGAACUGCGUUCUGAACUGGGUGACUAGAGUGUGUCAGAGGGAGGUAGAAUUCCACGUGUAGCAGUGAAAUGCGUAGAGAUGUGGAGGAAUACCGAUGGCGAAGGCAGCCUCCUGGGAUAACACUGACGUUCAUGCUCGAAAGCGUGGGUAGCAAACAGGAUUAGAUACCCUGGUAGUCCACGCCCUAAACGAUGUCAAUUAGCUGUUGGGCAACUUGAUUGCUUAGUAGCGUAGCUAACGCGUGAAAUUGACCGCCUGGGGAGUACGGUCGCAAGAUUA